GACGAACGCUGGCGGCGUGCUUAACACAUGCAAGUCGAACGGAAAGGCCCUGCUUGCAGGGUACUCGAGUGGCGAACGGGUGAGUAACACGUGGGUGAUCUGCCCUGCACUUCGGGAUAAGCUUGGGAAACUGGGUCUAAUACCGGAUAGGAGCCAUCUUUAGUGUGGUGGUUGGAAAGUUUUUUCGGUGUAGGCUGAGCUCGCGGCCUUUCAGCUUGUUGGUGGGGUAAUGGCCUACCAAGGCGGCGACGGGUAGCCGGCCUGAGAGGGUGUACGGCCACAUUGGACCUGAGAGACGGGCCAGACUGCGACGGGAGGCAGCAGGGGGGAAUGUUGCAUGAUGGGCGGAAGCCUGAUGCAGCGACGCCGCGUGGGGGAUGAAGGCUUUCGGGGUGUAAGCUCCUAUCGCUAUGGACGAAGCUUUUUUGUGACGGUACCUAGAGAAGAAGCACCGGCUAACUACGUG
RNAcentral lists this ribosomal RNA (466 nucleotides) under uncultured bacterium. Its description in RNAcentral is "partial 16S ribosomal RNA". It matches the Rfam family "Bacterial small subunit ribosomal RNA", at positions 28 to 507 of the family's 1533-position model. The record is from RNAcentral.